This 447-nucleotide ribosomal RNA is filed under the name uncultured bacterium. RNAcentral describes it as "bacterial SSU rRNA". It matches the Rfam family "Bacterial small subunit ribosomal RNA", at positions 355 to 825 of the family's 1533-position model. The record is from RNAcentral.
UGGGGAAUAUUGGACAAUGGGCGCAAGCCUGAUCCAACCAUGCCGCGUGAGUGACGAAGGCCUUAGGGUUGUAAAGCUCUUUUGGCGGGGAAGAUAAUGACGGUACCCGCAGAAUAAGCUCCGGCUAACUUCGUGCCAGCAGCCGCGGUAAUACGAAGGGAGCUAGCGUUGUUCGGAAUCACUGGGCGUAAAGCGCACGUAGGUGGAUAGUUAAGUGAGGGGUGAAAGCCCGAGGCUCAACCUCGGAAUUGCCUCUCAUACUGGCUGUCUCGAGUCCGAGAGAGGUGGGUGGAAUUCCUAGUGUAGAGGUGAAAUUCGUAGAUAUUAGGAAGAACACCGGUGGCGAAGGCGGCCCACUGGCUCGGUACUGACACUGAGGUGCGAAAGCGUGGGGAGCAAACAGGAUUAGAUACCCCAGUAGUCCCUGAGCGGGCUGGCAAGGCGCAU